CGGCCCGCCUCCUGGCCCCCGGGAUUGGUCGAAAGCUGCCUGUCCUCCAGCUGGGCCGAUCACGAUCCCCGCCCUUUGCCAGUCGGGAUUGGUGCUCGCUGGGCACGUGCAGAGCAGUCCCGGUGCCGGCCUUGAUUGGCUCGCGCGGGGCACGUGACCGACAGGCCCAGGGUCCUCUGCGGCCGAGGCGGGCGGCCGUGGCGUCUCCCGUGGCCCGGCGGAGCUGUGACGGAGACCGCUGUCGGAGCUCGGGACCCGGAGGCCGCCUCUCCGGGAGCCAAGGGAGGCGGUGCAGACACAGGGGAAGAACAUUCCAGAUGCCAAGAGGAGCGGGCAGAUUGGAGCCCCCAACUGUGGCAGCAAGGUUGACACUCUCUUCAGAGUUGAGGCUGCUUCCUGGAAAAGUCAGCCCAGGCGGCCGAAGGCGCCCUUUCCCCUGAACUGCCUGCCUGGUGGGGUGUUUCCAGGUGGUCCGAGGAGGCGCCUCCCACGAUAGUACGCGGGAAGGCUGCCCGCUCACCUCCUUACCAGGUAUUCGUAAUCAGACACCCCCAGACCCGUGUCCUCUCCGAUCUCAGGGAACGGCCACACGUGUCCCCCGUGAGCGAGGGCCUGUCGCUCUCGUCGCCCCUGUCCCACCCUGGGCUCUGGUGAGAAGUGAGGGUCUCACCGCACUUGUUAAGAAGGACCCGAGGGGGCAGGUGACCCCAAAGGGGUGAGCUCCAAAACUCGGCCCUCUCUCGGGAGACCACACCGUUUCUGUGGGGAUGCGAUUCGCGCGCACGGCCGACCCUCCGUCUGCCUAGAAAAACCUUUCCCUGUCCUCAGGAGGACGCCCUUCAUCGCAGGCCCGGGCCUCACGCCGCCAGGGCUGUGCCGGCAGGAGCCUCGAGAUGCAUUUAGACGUGGCAGGGAGCGUCCUGGCGGGUGAGUUUGCAGGCUGUGUCUGCUCCCCAAACGGGCAAAUACCCAGGUCUGACAACCAAGGCAAGACCCAGCAGGGGAGAGGCCUGCCCCGGGGACAGACCCGCAAGCGAGGGGGCAGCCCGGCCUCCCCUCCCCUGCCCAGCAGCUGUCACCAGCCUCACCCUUGUCAGCAGCCCACAUCCACUUAGGGCUUCGCCUGGUGAGGCCGUGGGAUCAGCAAAGCCUCGGUAGCCGGCAAAGUGCCCAGUUUAGUGCCCAGAGGCAAUGACUUUCCUCUUCGUCCUUGGGCCUCGGGGCCAUCGGCUGCCACCGACGUCAGUGCCAGCCUUGGCCGAGAGCAGAGGAUAGGACGCCAGCUGCGGGUGCUCAUCGGUGCCGGAGGCCGUCUGGUGACCAGCAGAGAGCUGCCUUGGGUGUGCGGCCGGGCUCAGGUGAGCCACCCUCGGCGAACUCAGCCCCGCGGGCAGGUUGGCCGGCCGCGCCUUCGUCCCAGGCUGUUCUCUGGCUCCUCCGAGGGCGCAGGAGUCGGACCCUGAGACGCCCCCUGGGUCGGAGGUCGGGCUCUCUGCCUUCCGGUGGAAUACCCUGGCCAGGCGCUCCCCCUCUCGGCCUCCGGUUUGCUCCUGUGCUCACCGGGCAGAAGCACAGGCCCCGCAGAGCACGGGGCCCGGCAUUUGGUGAGGCCUCAGUAGGUGCCGGCUGAUGUUCGCGUUGUGAGUGAAUUGGGUUAUAAAUAGCAGAACGGACCGGGGGCGGCUGUCCUUGGCUCCUGAGCACCGCUCGGAGGCGGUCCUGCAGCAGCUCUCCAGAAAUCCGGCGGGUUCCGCCAGGUGACGUGUGCCCCGAGGCCCCGCCCCGCUAGGGGAGCGCGGGCGGGGAAGCCCUGGGGAGGCGCAGCUCGACGCCCGCUGCCCCCGACCCCUGGGGGCGCUCACCCGGUUGGGGAAGGCACGGAGGAGGCCCCUGGACCGGGGAGGGGAGCCUCGGCAGCCUGAGCCCUGGACUCCUCCCUCGGGACCCUCCCGUGCUCAGACGUGGCUAAGGAGGCGAAGCGCCAGGCGGAGACCUCAGCCCGAGUCCCCGCUCGGCCUCCUGCCGUGCACGGGGACCUGCCACUCGGCGUCUCGGUCACUCUUCCUGGGGAAUGGGUACAGUCCCUACCUGCCCCCCUGCUCCCCAGUCAGUGUCCUCAAGAUGCUUCGCUCACAUGCCAGCACCCGGUAGGGUGUGGAACACGAGGAGAAAGCAUCCGAAUACUUGUGCUCUCACGUCAGGUAGCGACGAAGAGCUGUACCGUUACCUAAGGGGAAGGGGCAAAACCGACCGCUUUUAAGUCCUUUAGGACUUUCGAGUUUAUAACAUUUGAAGUUGUGUGUAGACGUCUACCAGAAAUGGGGGCUUCUGCGGACUCUGUCUUCAACUGGUGGUACCGUUUGAACCUCACAGUUGGUGGUGGAUUCUCUACGCGAAGACGGCGUGUUACCGUGCCGCUUCUUUCUACCACGGCCGGCCAAUCGGUGUUUCUCCCGGGUGUAACGCGAGCCACGUGAGAAAUUGAUUUACGUCCAUACGGAAAGACAGCUGGGGAAACUGUGGCUCUUGGCCCGCACGUGCAGGCCCAACCACGGUGUGGUGUUGCUGGUUAACGGCCCAAGACGUGUGAGUCAAACGCCUGUCCAACGGGAGUACGGAGAAGACUGGUUAGUCAAAGUGACACCUAGGCGCGGACGUCAGCGGAGGCCAGCAAACAACGGGCUCCAGGGACAGCGGGGGGAGCGCCCGGCACCCCCAGGGUCUGGGCAGAGGCUCCAGGCAGAGAGCCAGCGGCCCGCUCUAGGGCGUGGCGUGCCUGGGCAGAGCCUCACAAGCGGCCCCUCACAUUCUACCCCCAGCCGCGACGGCAGCACCUCGAACUCUGCGUCAGACUGUGACUGGCUACCCCGUGGGCAGCCGGACGCCUCCUUCCGUGACGCCUGCCAGCCGGGAUGGGAAGGGCCGGCAGGGGGGCUGCCAUUUCCCUCCGAGUUGACUAGUGAAGCCACAGUCUGGCACCUCCCCCGCCCUCCGGCCGGUCGGCGACGGGAGGAGGCGAGAAGGAUCCGUGCACGCUUCACCGCACGCGCGCACGUGUGCGCGCCCCGACCCGCUCACCCUCCAUUGGCACGGUUCCUCCCCUGCCACCAGCUUGGUGGAGCUCACCAGUUUUGGCUUCUGCGAGGCUCCAGAAUGGCCUUACGGGGCGGGGGGAGGGGUGGGGGUCCCGGCAAGGACCUGGAGAACACGGAACCGCAGGGAGCAGCGCUCCUCUUUGGAAGCCAGGGCAGGGAUGGUCUGCCGUGGCUGGCUGCCUUCUAUCACAGGUCUCUACGCGGGGGAGCCACGUCCUGCCAGCGUGGAUGCGGUCCGCACUCGGCUGUGCCGGCGUCCAGGAGAGGAGGGGAAAGGGACGCAGGCGUUGUGUAACAGGUGUGGCCCGCGCGCGUCCGCUCUGGCUGCUCCCCAAGGGCAUUUCCUGGUCAGCACUGACUGGACGAGAUGGGAAGGCCGGCAGGGGGCGGUCUCUGUCUAAGCCGACCGUGGGACUUACCUGGGAG
Neofelis nebulosa (Clouded leopard) is the source of this 3521-nucleotide long non-coding RNA. RefSeq lists it as uncharacterized. The transcript has 3 exons. Lineage: Eukaryota; Metazoa; Chordata; Mammalia; Carnivora; Felidae. The record is from RefSeq and is a predicted model, not a curated record.